AACCAUAGAAACCUGCGGAGUACCUGCGGAGGGAUCAUUACGAGAGUGUCACCACUCCCAACCACUGUUUACCUACCCGUCCACCGUGCCUCGGCAGGCAGCCCUGUGGGACAGAGCCUCGCCCCCCGCUGGGGGGGUGCCUGCCGCCGGCCGACCAAAAACUCUAGCUGUUUAGUACCAUCUGAGUCUUCCACAAAUGAACAAAACUUUCAACAAUGGAUCUCAGAUCGGAAGAGCACA
This 240-nucleotide unclassified non-coding RNA is filed under the name soil metagenome. RNAcentral describes it as "partial contains 5.8S ribosomal RNA, internal transcribed spacer 2, and large subunit ribosomal RNA". The record is from RNAcentral.